This 641-nucleotide ribosomal RNA is filed under the name uncultured Anaeromyxobacter sp. Its description in RNAcentral is "bacterial SSU rRNA". It matches the Rfam family "Bacterial small subunit ribosomal RNA", at positions 1 to 626 of the family's 1533-position model. The record is from RNAcentral. Lineage: Bacteria; Pseudomonadati; Myxococcota; Myxococcia; Myxococcales; Anaeromyxobacteraceae.
UAGAGUUUGAUCAUGGCUCAGAACGAACGCUGGCGGCGUGCCUAACACAUGCAAGUCGAGCGAGAAAGCCCGCAAGGGUGAGUAAAGCGGCGCACGGGUGAGUAACACGUGGGUAAUCUGCCCUAGAGUCCGGAAUAACUCGCCGAAAGGCGUGCUAAUGCCGGAUGAGACCACGGGAGCUCCGGCUCCUGCGGGAAAAGGUGGCCUCUGUACACAAGCUAUCGCUCUAGGAUGAGUCCGCGGCCCAUCAGCUCGUUGGCGGGGUAAUGGCCCACCAAGGCUACGACGGGUAGCUGGUCUGAGAGGACGAUCAGCCACACUGGAACUGAGACACGGUCCGGACUCCUACGGGAGGCAGCAGUGGGGAAUCUUGCGCAAUGGGCGAAAGCCUGACGCAGCAACGCCGCGUGUGUGAUGAAGGUCUUCGGAUCGUAAAGCACUGUCGCGAGGGACGAAUAAGGGGCGGGUUAACAUCCCGUUCCGAUGACGGUACCCCGAGAGGAAGCACCGGCUAACUCUGUGCCAGCAGCCGCGGUAAUACAGACGGUGCGAGCGUUGUUCGGAAUUAUUGGGCGUAAAGCGCGUGUAGGCGGCCUUGCAAGUUGGGUGUGAAAGCCCUCGGCUUAACCGAGGAAGUGCGC